GAUGAAGAACGUAGCGAAAUGCGAUACGUAAUGUGAAUUGCAGAAUUCAGUGAAUCAUCGAAUCUUUGAACGCAUAUUGCGCUCUCUGGUAUUCCGGAGAGCAUGCUUGUUUGAGUAUCAGUAAACACCUCAACUUCCAUAUCUUUUUUGAAAUGGGAGUUGGACUUGAGUGAUCCCAACGCUUUUCCUCACCGAAAAGUGGCGGGUUACUUGAAAUGCAGGUGCAGCUGGACUUUUCUCUGAGCUAUAAGCAUAUUUAUUUAGUCUGCCUAAAAACAGAUUAUUACCUUUGCUGCAGCUAACAUAAAGGAGAUUAGUUCUUGUGCUGACUGAUGCAGGAUUCACAAAGACAGGCUUCGGCCGACUUUGUAAACUCGAUCUCAAAUCAAGUAAGACUACCCGCUGAACUUAAGCAUAUCAAUAAGCGGAGGA
Molecule: unclassified non-coding RNA, 432 nt
Filed under: soil metagenome
Description: partial contains 5.8S ribosomal RNA, internal transcribed spacer 2, and large subunit ribosomal RNA
Rfam family: 5.8S ribosomal RNA (bases 1-120)
Source: RNAcentral